CCUACGGGAGGCAGCAGUGAGGAAUAUUGGUCAAUGGACGAGAGUCUGAACCAGCCAAGUAGCGUGAAGGAUGACUGCCCUAUGGGUUGUAAACUUCUUUUAUAAAGGAAUAAAACGAGGCACGUGUGCCUUUUUGCAUGUACUUUAUGAAUAAGGAUCGGCUAACUCCGUGCCAGCAGCCGCGGUAAUACGGAGGAUCCGAGCGUUAUCCGGAUUUAUUGGGUUUAAAGGGAGCGUAGAUGGGUUGUUAAGUCAGUUGUGAAAGUUUGCGGCUCAACCGUAAGAUUGCAAUUGAUACUGGCAGUCGUGAGUACAGUUGAGGUAGGCGGAAUUCGUGGUGUAGCGGUGAAAUGCUUAGAUAUCACGAAGAACCCCGAUUGCGAAGGCAGCUUACUAAACUGUGACUGACAUUGAAGCUCGAAAGUGUGGGUAUCAAACAGGAUUAGAUACCCCUGUAGUC
RNAcentral lists this ribosomal RNA (460 nucleotides) under uncultured bacterium. RNAcentral's name for it is "partial 16S ribosomal RNA". It matches the Rfam family "Bacterial small subunit ribosomal RNA", at positions 338 to 795 of the family's 1533-position model. The record is from RNAcentral.